Molecule: ribosomal RNA, 658 nt
Filed under: uncultured Gammaproteobacteria bacterium
Lineage: Bacteria; Pseudomonadati; Pseudomonadota; Gammaproteobacteria
Description: bacterial SSU rRNA
Rfam family: Bacterial small subunit ribosomal RNA
Source: RNAcentral
AGAGUUUGAUCCUGGCUCAGAGUGAACGCUGGCGGCAGGCCUAACACAUGCAAGUCGAGCGGCAGCGCAGUGGUAGCAAUACCAUGGGCGGCGAGCGGCGGACGGGUGAGGAACACAUCGGAAUCUACCCUGUCGUGGGGGACAACGUAGGGAAACUUACGCUAAUACCGCAUACGACCUUUGGGUGAAAGCGGGGGACUCGCAAGAGCCUCGCGCGAUUGGAUGAGCCGAUGUCCGAUUAGCUAGUUGGCGGGGUAAUGGCCCACCAAGGCGACGAUCGGUAGCUGGUCUGAGAGGACGACCAGCCACACUGGAACUGAGACACGGUCCAGACUCCUACGGGAGGCAGCAGUGGGGAAUAUUGGACAAUGGGGGCAACCCUGAUCCAGCCAUGCCGCGUGGGUGAAGAAGGCCUUCGGGUUGUAAAGCCCUUUUGUACGGGAAGAAAAGCUUCUGGUUAAUAACCGGGAGUGAUGACGGUACCGUAAGAAUAAGCACCGGCUAACUUCGUGCCAGCAGCCGCGGUAAUACGAAGGGUGCAAGCGUUACUCGGAAUUACUGGGCGUAAAGCGUGCGUAGGCGGUAUGUUAAGUCUGAUGUGAAAUCCCCGGGCUCAACCUGGGAAUGGCAUUGGAUACUGGCAGGCUAGAGUACGGUA